UUUUUGUUGUUGAGCCUAUUCUUAACAACUAAAAUGAGUUAUUAAAAACAGCAACUUUAAUUCUCGCAAGUGCACGAACCGUUUAUAGUAUAGCUUAUGUAAAUACGAGGUCGAUCCCACGGAGAAUGGUAACUUGGUUCCAAGUUAAAUUACUUAGAAUGCUAGAAAAACAUAGAACAAAGAAAGUGACUAACUAGCUAAAGGCAAGGUCGAAUUCAACAAUGCCUCUUGCUAAUUACUCAAGGUCUAGGACAGAAUCCUAGCACCACACACGCACUCGAAAUGGGGGGUUUUGUUGUUGAAAUGAAAACAAGAAAGUGAAAUGAAAGUGCUCGAAAGUAAACACUGGCAGCAAUCAACAAAUUGUGAAACAAUGAUUGAGAGGUGUUAGAGCCUUGGAAUCUGCCACUAGUCUUCCUAUCCAAGUUAUGAAUGCAUAGAAAUUGACUCAAGCUUCAUCAACAAUAGAUUAUCGCAUACAAGCCUAUGGUAUCUAGGUGCAGGAUGCAUCAUUCUCCUAAGGCAUGUGAUUGUGCAUGGUAUCUACACAGCACGUGAUCUCUAAUAUGCAACCUAAGCAUGGUAUCUACUUAGAAUAAAGCAUACAAGAGUCAUUAAGCUCCUUGAGAAUAUGAUAAUCACACAAGUCCUAGAACAUGGUAUCUGUCCUAGUCAACCUAUGGUUGUUAACCCCUUGAAUGAUUCUUAGGCCAUUCAUGUGUUGCUUGUGAAAGGAGAGUAGAAUUGGUGAAUCUAAACCCCUUCCCAACCUGUGCUAGAUGCAUAAAAUCCUAGUUAGCUACUCCAAGAAAACAUACAUCAAGCACAUAAUAAACUGGAGAUUAACAACUUGAUAAUAAAAGCAGGGAAAUCAAUUAACUAUAAAAUCAUCCAUAACGUUGAAUAUUCAUGACUAGGGCUUCAUCCUAAGCCCUAACUAAAUGGAUUAGUUAGACAUAACUAUGAACACAGAAAAUAAGAAAUACAUAGAUAGGAUAAAGAGAGGAGAAGAACUAGAUGAUGGCAGCAAGGAAGUUCCCAGGACAGCUCCAAGCUCCCUUGACAGCUCCAAGCUCCCUUCUGUCUUUGUGGUGAAUCUGAAUGUGUGUAUGAGAGUAAUGGAUGAAGUGAAUGUGUGUGUCUGCUCUCUCUCCUUGAAUGAGUGUGCAACUCUCUAUUUAUAGAGUGCAAUUUCGUGCUCCCCUUUGGCUGGUGAAACACACCUCUCUUAGCUGCUCCCAAUUGCCUAAGCUGCCCAAUAAAUGCCAACUUUUCCAGCUGCCCAAUAAAUGCUUUGGUGGACUUUUCUUGGUUUCUUUAUGGAAAGCUUGACUUUUGUUCAUCCUUUUGGGUUCCCAUACUGAUUUGUCUCCCAUGUGUAGCCUACCAUAAUUCCUGGAAAAUGGUCCUUGAUUUGUGCAGACAAGAUCCCCAUAAUUAAGCAUGCCAUGUUUUGCUCCUUUUUGACUUCCAUAGCUGAAAUGCCUCCCUAAUUUGCUCAACAUGUCAGGUCCAAAGUCAAACAAUGAUGAAGUGAGGCACAUGGCUCAAGGGAGGUGUGGAGCACAAGGCUCACCAGCUGGCAGCUACAUAUUAAAAUCCUCCUAGAGCAUGGUUCAGUGUUUGACAGGCCAAGGACUCUAUCUGUCAUUAAUUGGGCUGAAAUUUGGAUAUGUUAUACUAGACACCCAUUGGAACAACUUCUGUGAAGCAUGUCUCCUCAUCCAAGUAGUGUAGGUUGCUGAAAUGAGGCCUGCAAGAUGACCCACGAAUUUGGACUGACAAGGAGUGUGGCCCAAAUUGGUUCUGUCAUUAAGCUCAUAUUCCUCUUGUGCCAAUCAACCCUUAACAUGCAUGAAUUGUAUCAAAUGUGAUCCCCUUGUUGUCCUAACCUACAAAACACACAAACAUAGGUAAGAGACUCAAAAUAAAGAGAAACUAAACAAAAUUACUAAGCAAAGAAGACAUGCAAAUGUGUGAAAUUAUGACCUUAUCAAAUACCCCCAAACUUAGAUUUUGCUAGUCCUCGAGCAAAACAAAAUAAAAUUACAACUUAGGAAACAGGAAAUAAGCAACUAGCCUUCCAAACAAUAUCCUCAAAGAAUCAUCAGUGUAUAUGGUUCCAAAGAAACACAACAAUCACAAUCUAAGUUCCACACAUGAUUCACGAGAAAGCAAAGCUAGCAUUGACACCCUUAAGUGUAGUGUGUGAAUGCCAAAUCCGAACAACACCUGCAACUCAAAUAAGUACAUGCGCACACACUUAGAGCAAAAUCAAGAAUUCCGAACCCCAUAAGCUCAUUAUCCAAUCUGCUCUCCACAGUAAUACCAUGCAACACCAAGGAUCAAAAGGACUUUACAAGGGUAGUAAUGAGGUUUAGGGUAGUGGUUGAAUGAAAGAAGGGAUAUGAGAUAUACAAUAUUUUGAGCACACUUAAAGCACAGGUAAGAGCAUAAGAGAGUACUUAACUUUGUAACAAGCAAGGAACACAUACAUGAGCAGAUUUUCAACAUAAUUUCAGCACCUUGAAAUGUGUUUAUUUGGCCUAAUUUUGUGGCUCUUUACCCUAGAUCACCAUGAUGUUCUCCUUAUAACACCCUAGGGCCGUGACUACAUUGGUCACACUUCAUUACCUCUUUUGAUUAGUUACCAAUACCCCCAAACUUAUUUCUUUUCAACACUUGGGUUAUGGCACCAAUUAUUCACUUUUGCUCUAUAAACCUUGCAUUCUUUAUGACUCUCUUUUGAAGAUAGCUUUAAUUGCUCAUACAAUAAGUAAGGAUAAGAAAACAGAGGCUCAUUAUGGUAGGAUUCGUUUACACAAAGAAAGGCUUAACGUAGGCUCAAAUGGGAUGACUAGGGAUGAAUACAUGUAGAGGGAUGGUUAGAAAGGCUCAAACGGUUCAAACAUGGCCUAAAUCACUUCCUAAGCAUUGUAUGGCAACAAAAUGUCUCAAGAAAUAUUCAAAUAAGUUCUAGAGUAUGAAACCAAGAUCAUGAGAUAAGUAGAAUUGCAUAACGUCUCUAAGUAGCAAGACGUUGGACUAACUUGGCAAAGUGCUCUUAAGUGCAAGGAUGGCAUGCAAGACAGAGUUAACUCAGAACCACACAAAGUCCUUAAACAAUGACUAUCAAUUUCUGAGAAACCAUAUUAGUAUUAGAUCCAAGUCUUUAUCAUAGGUGUUUGGAAGGAUAACGAAACAACACACAAAAUCCUGCGUUUUUAGACAGUAGACACACUCAAAAAUUUUAAAAUUUGACAAUUUGAAACAACAUAACUAAAUCCUUCCCCCCAAACUUAAAUGAAACAUUGUCCUCAAUGUUUAGAGUGUAAGAAAAAGCAAUGCCUCAUAAAUGAAAGGAAAGAAGACAAGGGAAAGACAUAACCAAAGGUUAGAUUUCAGAAAAACUCCCCUUUGAAGCGAUUAGGACGCAAGCAGGCUUCCUCGCACGUUCUAUCUUCUCCUCGUCACCUUAGGUUGCCUCCCAAGAAGCGCUAAGUUUCACGUCUUCAGCCGGAUGUCCAAACUUUCUAUAGUGAAUGGGGGGGUUUGGGCUCAAUCGACACCUCAUGCAAUGCAAGACAGUUCACCAAGCUUGUUCUCCUUUUCCAUUGCUUCCUUGCUACUUUUCUUUUCCUUUUCUGUUUAUGAAUGGAAUCACAAUGAAUUGUAGGAAUGAUUGGAAUAUUCACAUCUCCAAGUUUGGGCAGCCCCUUCUUGUGUGUGGGAAUUGGAGCAUUGAACAUGUGGGCUGCCCUCUGCUCCUCCUUGUCUCCUCUUUUCAGCAAGCAUGAUUCUACUGAAUAAGGAAGGCCAUCAAAUCUCUCUUUCCCUGGAUUACCAAGUACUUCAAUUUGAAAACAAUCUUGUACAACAUUUGGCUUCAGGGCAUCAAACACUUUGAAGGCAACAGUUUCUCCAUUAACGAUCAUGGUGAGAGUGCCUUGCUCUACAUCAAUCUUGGUCUUAGCAGUAGCCAUGAAGGGUCGGCCAAAGAUAAGGGGCAAUUCAUUGUCAGGAAUUGGUGCUUCUUCCAUCUCCAAGACUAAGAAAUCAGCUGGCAAGAUUAAACCUUCUACGUUCACCAAAACGUCUUCUAGAAUGCCCUUGGGAUACCGAAUAGUUCUAUCUGCCAAUUGAAUGCUCACAGUUGUGGCUUGCAACUCACCAAGGUUAAGUUUCUCAUAAACAUGAUAUGGCAUAAGGUUAAUGGAUGCACCGAGAUCAAGCAAAGCUUUUGGAAUCUUGAAAUCACCAACAAUGCAAGGUAUAGAAAACGAACCUGGAUCCUUUAGCUUUGGAGGUAGCUUUCUUUGUAAAACUGCACUUACCUCUUCACUCAAUGCAACUUGUUCAUGCUCUUUGAAUCUCCUCUUGUUAGUGCAUAGAUCCUUCAAAAAUUUUGCAUACUUUGGAAUCUGAGUAAUGGCAUUGAGCAAUGGGAUGUUGAUUUGCACCUUCUUGAAUGUUUCCAUUAUCUCAUCCAAGCCUUGAUCUUUCUUUGACUUUGAUAACCUGCUGGGAAAGGGUGCAAUAGGCCUAAAAGCAUUAGUUGAAAUUGGAACUUGAUUAGCAUUAGAUGAUACCUUAGGGCCUGUGCUCUUUCCAGAAGGAUUGAGGGACUGUUUGUUGGAAACUGUGGGCUGCCCAUGUGGUGGCUGAAUGAUCUCCACGUUUUCUCCAUCUUCUUGCUCUUCAUUGGCAUCUCCAACCUUAUUAUCAACUUGUUUACCACUUCUCAAGAUGUGCACUACUUUAACUUGCUCAUGAUGCCUUGGAUUCACCUCUGUUUGGCUCGAAAAAGUUCCGGAUGCUCUAUGGCUCAAGGAGGAUGCAAUCUGCCCAACUUGCACUUCUAGUUUAUUCACUGCAUUUUGAAGAUUCUGAUUGGUUUGCAUCUGUUGCCCCAUGAACUUCUUGAACAUGUCUUGCAAUUCUCCCAUUUGAUCACCCCUUUGCUCUUGCACUUGUUGGGGAGCUUGCUGGAAUUGCCUUUGUUGUGUUUGGAAUCCUGGGAGAGGUCCUUGAGAUUGUUGCACAUUCGAAUUAUUGCUCCACCUGAAAUUAGGAUGAUUUCUCCACCCCGGAUUGUACAUGUUUGAGUAAGGAUCAUUAUUAGGAUUCCUUGCUUGAAGGGCAUUUGCUUGUUCUAGCAUCUGUUCUGCAAAAGAUUGGUCUUGAACUUCCACUUUGUUUCCUCGAGGGCCAGUCACUGCCUGUUGGAGCAAAGAACACAUAACAUCAAGUUUUGUAGCAAUCUCAUUAUUAGUACUUACCUCAGAGACCACAGCUUUCAUAGGAGCUCCUCUUCCUUUAUUGUGGCUCCAUUGUUGAGAGUUAGCACUCAAGGAUUCAAAGAGAGUAAAAGCCUCAUCUGCUGUUUUGUUCAUCAGUCCUUCUCCACUUGUUGCAUCUACCAUCAUCCUUUCGGAAUCAAGCAAACCUUCAUAGAAGGAUUGCAUUUGCAUCCAACUCUCUAUGUUGUGGUGUGGGCAAGAACUUAUCAUCUCCUUGUACCUCUCCCAACAUUCAUGAAACGCUUCUCCUUCCUUUUGUGUGAAACCAAGAAUUUCCUUUCUAAUCUUGUUAGUCUUUUGAGCCGGAAAAAAUUUCUGCAAAAACUUAUUAGAAAGCUCUUCCCAAGUAUGAAUUGAAGCAUUAGGCAAAGAGUAUAACCAAGACUUAGCUUUAUCUUUUAAACUGAAUGGAAAUAGCCUCAUCUUAAUCUGCUCAUCAUCAAGGUUUUGAAUUUUGAUCGUAGCACAUAUUUCAAAGAAUUGCUUAAUAUGCAUGUAAGGAUCCUCAGUGGUAUUACCAUAAUAAGUUGGAAGAAGAUGAAUCAUACCACUUUUAAGCUCAAACCUGUCAACUGUGAGUUGAGGAUAGACGAUGCAUGAAGGUUGAUCGGUGACUUUGGGAAUGGAAAACUCACGUAGGGGUUUUCUUGGUUGGACAACAAGCACACCACCUCCUUCAUCAUUGUUGUUGUUCGGAAUCUCUGCCAUGUUGCUUGAACCUUCAGAUUCGUAACUUUUAGAUUUAACGCUUGAAGAACUAUAAUUCCUCCUCAAACCAGCACGCACAGCAGCGGUUCUUGGUGAAAGUGGCUCAGGUGAACUUUGCUCCUGGUCAGAUUCGGACAUGCGCACACCAAGGAAGUCAAUUAAGUGCUUUCAAUGGAGAUAACAACAAAAUACAAAAACUGAAUACUAAAAGAAAAACUGACGAAAAGAAACAAAUGAAACAAACAAAAACAAAACAAUCAAAGUAAUCUAACUAUAGCACCAUCAUUACCGGUUUCCCCGGCAACGGCGCCAAAAACUUGUUGAGCCUAUUCUUAACAACUAAAAUGAGUUAUUAAAAACAGCAACUUUAAUUCUCGCAAGUGCACGAACCGUUUAUAGUAUAGCUUAUGUAAAUACGAGGUCGAUCCCACGGAGAAUGGUAACUUGGUUCCAAGUUAAAUUACUUAGAAUGCUAGAAAAACAUAGAACAAAGAAAGUGACUAACUAGCUAAAGGCAAGGUCGAAUUCAACAAUGCCUCUUGCUAAUUACUCAAGGUCUAGGACAGAAUCCUAGCACCACACACGCACUCGAAAUGGGGGGUUUUGUUGUUGAAAUGAAAACAAGAAAGUGAAAUGAAAGUGCUCGAAAGUAAACACUGGCAGCAAUCAACAAAUUGUGAAACAAUGAUUGAGAGGUGUUAGAGCCUUGGAAUCUGCCACUAGUCUUCCUAUCCAAGUUAUGAAUGCAUAGAAAUUGACUCAAGCUUCAUCAACAAUAGAUUAUCGCAUACAAGCCUAUGGUAUCUAGGUGCAGGAUGCAUCAUUCUCCUAAGGCAUGUGAUUGUGCAUGGUAUCUACACAGCACGUGAUCUCUAAUAUGCAACCUAAGCAUGGUAUCUACUUAGAAUAAAGCAUACAAGAGUCAUUAAGCUCCUUGAGAAUAUGAUAAUCACACAAGUCCUAGAACAUGGUAUCUGUCCUAGUCAACCUAUGGUUGUUAACCCCUUGAAUGAUUCUUAGGCCAUUCAUGUGUUGCUUGUGAAAGGAGAGUAGAAUUGGUGAAUCUAAACCCCUUCCCAACCUGUGCUAGAUGCAUAAAAUCCUAGUUAGCUACUCCAAGAAAACAUACAUCAAGCACAUAAUAAACUGGAGAUUAACAACUUGAUAAUAAAAGCAGGGAAAUCAAUUAACUAUAAAAUCAUCCAUAACGUUGAAUAUUCAUGACUAGGGCUUCAUCCUAAGCCCUAACUAAAUGGAUUAGUUAGACAUAACUAUGAACACAGAAAAUAAGAAAUACAUAGAUAGGAUAAAGAGAGGAGAAGAACUAGAUGAUGGCAGCAAGGAAGUUCCCAGGACAGCUCCAAGCUCCCUUGACAGCUCCAAGCUCCCUUCUGUCUUUGUGGUGAAUCUGAAUGUGUGUAUGAGAGUAAUGGAUGAAGUGAAUGUGUGUGUCUGCUCUCUCUCCUUGAAUGAGUGUGCAACUCUCUAUUUAUAGAGUGCAAUUUCGUGCUCCCCUUUGGCUGGUGAAACACACCUCUCUUAGCUGCUCCCAAUUGCCUAAGCUGCCCAAUAAAUGCCAACUUUUCCAGCUGCCCAAUAAAUGCUUUGGUGGACUUUUCUUGGUUUCUUUAUGGAAAGCUUGACUUUUGUUCAUCCUUUUGGGUUCCCAUACUGAUUUGUCUCCCAUGUGUAGCCUACCAUAAUUCCUGGAAAAUGGUCCUUGAUUUGUGCAGACAAGAUCCCCAUAAUUAAGCAUGCCAUGUUUUGCUCCUUUUUGACUUCCAUAGCUGAAAUGCCUCCCUAAUUUGCUCAACAUGUCAGGUCCAAAGUCAAACAAUGAUGAAGUGAGGCACAUGGCUCAAGGGAGGUGUGGAGCACAAGGCUCACCAGCUGGCAGCUACAUAUUAAAAUCCUCCUAGAGCAUGGUUCAGUGUUUGACAGGCCAAGGACUCUAUCUGUCAUUAAUUGGGCUGAAAUUUGGAUAUGUUAUACUAGACACCCAUUGGAACAACUUCUGUGAAGCAUGUCUCCUCAUCCAAGUAGUGUAGGUUGCUGAAAUGAGGCCUGCAAGAUGACCCACGAAUUUGGACUGACAAGGAGUGUGGCCCAAAUUGGUUCUGUCAUUAAGCUCAUAUUCCUCUUGUGCCAAUCAACCCUUAACAUGCAUGAAUUGUAUCAAAUGUGAUCCCCUUGUUGUCCUAACCUACAAAACACACAAACAUAGGUAAGAGACUCAAAAUAAAGAGAAACUAAACAAAAUUACUAAGCAAAGAAGGCAUGCAAAUGUGUGAAAUUAUGACCUUAUC
RNAcentral lists this long non-coding RNA (8314 nucleotides) under Prunus persica (peach). RNAcentral's name for it is "long non-coding RNA (PPER_LNC005337)". The stretch from base 5482 to 5588 matches the Rfam family "Plant small nucleolar RNA R71". The record is from RNAcentral. Lineage: Eukaryota; Viridiplantae; Streptophyta; Magnoliopsida; Rosales; Rosaceae.